Non-coding RNA from Anas platyrhynchos (mallard), 1695 nucleotides. NCBI's taxonomy places the organism in Eukaryota, Metazoa, Chordata, Aves, Anseriformes, Anatidae. The record is from RefSeq and is a predicted model, not a curated record.
UAUGUCAGCACUGCUAGGUGAGCACUGAUUCCACAGCGAAUGCCACAGGAGAGCAAGGAGGACACCAUGAUCCUUCACGUCCUUCUAGCACUUUCCACAAGGCUUCACCACCACACAUCCUGUAUCAUUUGCACCUGCACCCUUAGAGGGCCUGCAGCACCUGCUAGCAGGUCCCAAUUAACCAAGUGAUGGUUCAGGUGCACUCUGACAUAAAAACUGGGGAGAGAGCACACUGCCCCUCCGGCAGGAACAGCCCCUGCAGCAGGAGGUGUGGAGGACACAGGACUGCAUCCCCUACUCUCCUAUGGAAAAAGAAACAGCCUAUCGCAGCUCAACCUGGAGGAAGAAAUGUGUUGCAAGAGGACCUGCUCUGUGAUUUCAGUCGUGUUAGUGCAUAACCUAAAAGCAUCAGACUUCAUGUGGCAACAACAGCACGGCCUUGUGGAGAACUUCAUGGCUUCAUGUGGAACUUCAGAACUUCAUGUGGAGAACUUCACAGCCAAAACUUCGGUAGUGGGAACACACUGAAAAGACCAGAAAUCCUUCCCAAGUCCUUGAGAUGUGCAAAAGGGGCCUUGGAGGAGAGAAUCAACAGCUGCAUGGCAGAGGAGAUCUAGCCUGGCUUGGUGGUGGAUGGAUAAACAUGGAUCCACUGGACACACGGAAUAAGGACAGAAGUUUAUCUCCUUGUAUAACCUCCCGCUUAUAAUUACUGAGCAAAAUAACAGCAGCAAGAUAUGACAAAAGUUGAAAACGAGGGCUUGCUGCAGGGACUGCUGUGCAUUUUCUGACCCGUUCACAGGGACAGGAUUUGGUAUUAGGGCUGUGGACAUUCUGUGUUACCUUUCACAUAAGACACACAGUUGUUCAAGUCACCUUCUGCUCAUCUUCUCUAUUGCCACAGCUACCUGGCGGGCACAAGGCAGGCUUGAAUGAUUCAGAGCAGCUACCAUUUAGAGAGUGCACUCAGAACUGCUUGGAAAUAGCACUAGGAGGAGAGAGUUCUGCGCAGCAGUGAGACAUUCAGGAUGUGCAGUGACUUGCUUGAGAAUGAUACCCCGCAAUGAAACGUUCCAAGUAUGCUAGGAAUUAAAGCUGCUGAAAACAUGUGAUUCUUAGCCGUGGAGAUGUUGAGCAGGAAACUGAGCUGAGAAGAAAUGUUUCAAAGAAGUUCACUGAUGAAAUAUUUUACGGUCUGAUCACAUUGGUUAAAUGUGCCAGCAGUGGAGAAAAUCUGGAGAUGCGUGUCUUUGAUCAACAGAUUAAGGUUUUUCUCCACAUCAUCUCAAAUUAAGUCCAACUGCAGUUUUAACUUCAUUUGGGACUUCAAAUUUACAGUAGCUCCCCUUCCAUUGUAAAUUGCUUUCCCAAAAAUACUUUGUGCCUUUUCAUUUUUCAUAUUGUAUCAGUCCUUGUUUUUCUUCCUGGAUUUAAUGACAAGCCUCAUUUAUGGAAGAUAUUAAUAAAAUGGCAGCAUCUGUCUUCUUUCAGACUUGUGGAGCAUUUGUGCUGGCAGCUUUCAAGUUGUCUUAGAGCAGUCACUUGUUUAGGCUGCUGAGGACUUCCCAGACCACUGCAAUCUGCACUCCACUCUGCUUUUUCAGUGUGGUAUUACUUUUAAUUUUAUUUUUUUAAGUAAUAUAAAAAGGGAAAUUUAAUUGUGCGUCACUUUGGACAUGAGGGAGUAAAAUGUCU